Molecule: long non-coding RNA, 558 nt
Filed under: Androctonus crassicauda
Lineage: Eukaryota; Metazoa; Arthropoda; Arachnida; Scorpiones; Buthidae
Source: RNAcentral
CAAUCUGAGAUUAUUAAGGUGUGUGACCAGUUCCAACCAUGGGAUGCACCCACACCUGUGGAGGGGGGCAGAUAGUGAAGGAAGGAUGGGGAUCACCAGGCUGGGUCCAGAACCCCCUGAAAAACUUCAGGAUAUGCUAGACUGUGGUCCUCCUUCGUGGCAUACCAAUAUGUUACCACUUGGCGAUAUGGCUGUCGAUUUAGUAAUUUUAAACUUUAAUGCUCUUUUCGGUGACAAAAUAUUAUAAUCUGUUUGCCAAAAUGCUAAAAAUCUCUCUAUAAGUGUGUGUGUGUGUGUGUGUGUGUGUGUCUGUCUCAAUUUGUGGGUUAAGACCAGGUGUUACCAAACUUUUUCGUACGCAGGUCAAAUCUCCAAAGUAUUUUAAAAAAUUGUGAGUUUGUAAGCCACAUACUAUAUCAGAAUGGGUAAGACAAAUUAUUGCUAAAUUUUUGUUAAAAGAUAUAACCACAUUUUUAUAAUACUUUUAUUGAAUAGGUACUUUUAUUAAUAAUACAAGUAUGCAAUUCAUUUUUUUGAUGAAAUUUUUUUAGUGCAGUC